AUACAAACCGUGACCAAGUUCAUAAAAACGCAAAUAAGUUUAACGCCUCCGCGAGGCACGAUGUGCAUUGCAGGAAAAUAACAGGGAAAAGAAAUCAGGAGGAGCCACCGCCGGUCGCCCCCUCCGCAGGGGGCUAGUCGUCGACGUCAGAGGCAUCGUCUUCCCCAUCAUCGGCUCCAGCGGCACCUGGAGACGAAGGAGCUGCGACGCGGGCGAACCUCCUCAUCAACGCCUCCACAUGGCCUUCAACGCCUCCGCGGCGCGGUCGCGGGCCUCAGUGGGGACCGGCACGAUCACAUAGCUUAGAU
Molecule: long non-coding RNA, 308 nt
Filed under: Hordeum vulgare
Lineage: Eukaryota; Viridiplantae; Streptophyta; Magnoliopsida; Poales; Poaceae
Description: long non-coding RNA (HVUL_LNC009430)
Source: RNAcentral